UCUACUUUGCAACCAACAAUCUGUAGUAUUGGAAUUUGCUUUUUUUAGAGUUGUAUAUAGUCUGAGUUUCUCAACUGAAUUUUACAAAUUCUCAUUUCCUAAAUCAUCUUCUCUUUCAGGUUUCAACCGUGAGGAAAUGUCAUUCAGAUUUGGCCAACACCUCAUCAAGCCCUCUGUGGUUUUUCUCAAAACAGAACUGUCCUUUGCUCUUGUGAACAGGAAACCUGUGGUACCAGGACUACUAUCCUGCCUGAAUUUUAAGUGAAGCUGUAAUCAUCAGGAGCAUAUGGAUCAUUUCGAUUGAUGGAGCGGGACAACAAGGGUCCAUGGAAAUCCUGCCUUUUCAGUAUGCCCAAGCACCAGCCAAAUCUUGUUCCCAUUUUAUUCCAGAUCUUUUAGUAUCCUAUUAAAGCUAUAUUUUUUCCAACUUUCCCCUCCUGCUUUGUCAGUUGGAAUCUUGUUUACAUGUCUGUGUUACAAGGGUACAGUUAAGUCUAAAAGUGGUGAAUGAAUUGAUGGCCGAUGGAAAAAGAUUUUUUUUUGCCUGUUAGUUUUCAAUGGACAAGUCUGUAUUUUAAGGGCAGUAUAUUGGCAUCUUUACAUAAAUGGGAAAUUAUUAUUUUGUAUUUAUGAUGAUUUUCUUUUUUUUUUUUUUAAAUUUUUUUUUUUUCAACGUUUAUUUAUUUUUGGGACAGAGAGAGACAGAGCAUGA
Molecule: long non-coding RNA, 712 nt
Filed under: Lynx canadensis (Canada lynx)
Lineage: Eukaryota; Metazoa; Chordata; Mammalia; Carnivora; Felidae
Description: lncRNA (ENSLCNG00005009730.1)
Source: RNAcentral